RNAcentral lists this ribosomal RNA (245 nucleotides) under Bacillus cereus. RNAcentral's name for it is "partial 16S ribosomal RNA". It matches the Rfam family "Bacterial small subunit ribosomal RNA", at positions 65 to 298 of the family's 1533-position model. The record is from RNAcentral. Lineage: Bacteria; Bacillati; Bacillota; Bacilli; Caryophanales; Bacillaceae.
AGCGAAUGGAUUAAGAGCUUGCUCUUAUGAAGUUAGCGGCGGACGGGUGAGUAACACGUGGGUAACCUGCCCAUAAGACUGGGAUAACUCCGGGAAACCGGGGCUAAUACCGGAUAAUAUUUUGGACCUCAUGGUUCAAAAUUGAAAGGCGGCUUCGGCUGUCACUUAUGGAUGGACCCGCGUCGCAUUAGCUAGUUGGUGAGGUAACGGCUCACCAAGGCAACGAUGCGUAGCCGACCUGAGAG